Molecule: ribosomal RNA, 163 nt
Filed under: uncultured bacterium
Lineage: Bacteria
Description: partial 16S rRNA
Rfam family: Bacterial small subunit ribosomal RNA
Source: RNAcentral
UAGGGAAUCUUCCACAAUGGACGAAAGUCUGAUGGAGCAACGCCGCGUGAGUGAAGAAGGGUUUCGGCUCGUAAACUCUGUUGUUAAAGAAGAACAUAUCUGAGAGUAACUGUUCAGGUAUUGACGGUAUUUAACCAGAAAGCCACGGCUAACUACGUGCCGG